Molecule: ribosomal RNA, 253 nt
Filed under: uncultured bacterium
Lineage: Bacteria
Description: partial 16S ribosomal RNA
Rfam family: Bacterial small subunit ribosomal RNA
Source: RNAcentral
UACGUAGGGGGCAAGCGUUGUCCGGAUUCAUUGGGCGUAAAGAGCGUGUAGGCGGCCAGGUAGGUCGGUUGUGAAAACUGGAGGCUCAACCUUCAGAGGUCGACCGAAACCAUCUGGCUAGAGUCCGGGAGAGGAGAGUGGAAUUCCUGGUGUAGCGGUGAAAUGCGCAGAUAUCAGGAAGAACACCGAUGGCGAAGGCAGCUCUCUGGGACGGUACUGACGCUGAGACGCGAAAGCGUGGGGAGCGAACAGG